This is a small nuclear RNA of Schistocerca gregaria, 110 nucleotides long. Lineage: Eukaryota; Metazoa; Arthropoda; Insecta; Orthoptera; Acrididae. The record is from RefSeq and is a predicted model, not a curated record.
ACUGGCUUCGGCGGGACAUAUACCAAAAUUGGGAGAGAAAGAAAAGAGAAGAUCAGCAUGGUCCCCUGCGCAAGGAUGACACGCAAAAUCGUGCAGAAUUAAAAAAAAAA